AGCAGUCGCCGCGGUAAUACAGAGGGUGCAAGCGUUAAUCGGAAUUACUGGGCGUAAAGCGCGCGUAGGUGGUUUGUUAAGUUGGAUGUGAAAUCCCCGGGCUCAACCUGGGAACUGCAUCCCAAACUGGCAAGCUAGAGUAUGGUAGAGGGUGGUGGAAUUUCCUGUGUAGCGGUGAAAUGCGUAGAUAUAGGAAGGAACACCAGUGGCGAAGGCGACCACCUGGACUGAUACUGACACUGAGGUGCGAAAGCGUGGGGAGCAAACAGGAUUAGAUACCCGGGUAGUCCCUGUCUCUUAUAC
RNAcentral lists this ribosomal RNA (303 nucleotides) under uncultured bacterium. Its description in RNAcentral is "partial 16S ribosomal RNA". It matches the Rfam family "Bacterial small subunit ribosomal RNA", at positions 507 to 807 of the family's 1533-position model. The record is from RNAcentral.